UUGCUCUUUAUGAAAUCUAGUGGCAAACGGGUGAGUAACACGUAAACAACCUGCCUUCAGGAUGGGGACAACAGACGGAAACGACUGCUAAUACCGAAUACGAUUCUUGAGUCGCAUGACACAAGAAAGAAAGGGUGGCCUCUACUUGUAAGCUAUCGCCUGAAGAGGGGUUUGCGUCCGAUUAGGUAGUUGGUGAGGUAACGGCCCACCAAGCCGACGAUCGGUAGCCGGUCUGAGAGGAUGAACGGCCACAUUGGAACUGAGACACGGUCCAGACUCCUACGGGAGGCAGCAGUGGGGAAUCUUCCGCAAUGGGCGAAAGCCUGACGGAGCAACGCCGCGUGAGUGAAGACGGCCUUCGGGUUGUAAAACUCUGUGAUUCGGGACGAAAGAUAAGUAGACGAAUAAUCUGCAUAAGUGACGGUACCGAAAAAGCAAGCCACGGCUAACUACGUGCCAGCAGCCGCGGUAAUACGUAGGUGGCAAGCGUUGUCCGGAAUUAUUGGGCGUAAAGCGCGCGCAGGCGGCUACUUAAGUCCAUCUUAAAAGUGCGGGGCUUAACCCCGUGAUGGGAUGGAAACUGAGAAGCUGGAGUGUCUGAGAGGAAAGUGGAAUUCCUAGUGUAGCGGUGAAAUGCGUAGAGAUUAAGAAGAACACCGGUGGCGAAGGCGACUUUCUGG
Molecule: ribosomal RNA, 680 nt
Filed under: uncultured bacterium
Lineage: Bacteria
Description: bacterial SSU rRNA
Rfam family: Bacterial small subunit ribosomal RNA
Source: RNAcentral